This 497-nucleotide ribosomal RNA is filed under the name uncultured bacterium. RNAcentral describes it as "partial 16S ribosomal RNA". It matches the Rfam family "Bacterial small subunit ribosomal RNA", at positions 28 to 507 of the family's 1533-position model. The record is from RNAcentral.
GAUGAACGCUGGCGGCGUGCCUAAUACAUGCAAGUCGAGCGAACGGACGAGAAGCUUGCUUCUCUGAUGUUAGCGGCGGACGGGUGAGUAACACGUGGAUAACCUACCUAUAAGACUGGGAUAACUUCGAGAAACCGUAGCUAAUACCGGAUAAUAUUUUGAACCGCAUGGUUCAAAAGUGAAAGACGGUCUUGCUGUCACUUAUAGAUGGAUCCGCGCUGCAUUAGCUAGUUGGUAAGGUAACGGCUUACCAAGGCAACGAUGCAUAGCCGACCUGAGAGGGUGAGCAGGCACACUGUGACUGAGACGCGGUCCAGGCUCCUACGGGACGCAGCAGUAGGGAGUAAUCGGCAAUGGGCGAAAGCCUGAAAAAGAAACGCCGCGUGAGUGAUGAAGGUCUUAUGAUCGUAACACUAUUUUAUUAGGAAAGAACAUAAGUGUAACUAACUGUGCCCAUCUUGACGGUACCUAAUCAGAAAGACAGGGCUAACUACGUG